UGCCAGCCGCCGCGGUAAUACGGAGGGAGCAAACGUUGUUCGGAUUUACUGGGUGUAAAGGGUGCGUAGGCGGCCCCGUGUGUCAGAGGUGAAAUCCCACGGCUCAACCGUGGAAUUGCCUUUGAAACUGCAGGGCUUGAGUCCGGAAGAGGAAGGUGGAAUUCCUGGUGUAACGGUGAAAUGUGCAGAUAUCAGGAAGAACACCCGUGGCGAAGGCGGCCUUCUGGUCCGGAACUGACGCUGAGGCACGAAAGCUAGGGUAUCGAACGGGAUUAGAUA
This 279-nucleotide ribosomal RNA is filed under the name uncultured bacterium. RNAcentral describes it as "partial 16S ribosomal RNA". It matches the Rfam family "Bacterial small subunit ribosomal RNA", at positions 506 to 784 of the family's 1533-position model. The record is from RNAcentral.